AAUUGAUUCACUGAGCUUGCUAUAACAAGAAAGUAUUACCUAUUCUGGUGUUUUCUUCCCCAUGAAACACCCAUUAUAUUGAUUCAAACAAU
Molecule: small nucleolar RNA, 92 nt
Filed under: Nannospalax galili (Upper Galilee mountains blind mole rat)
Lineage: Eukaryota; Metazoa; Chordata; Mammalia; Rodentia; Spalacidae
Description: Small nucleolar RNA SNORA28 (ENSNGAG00000002310.1)
Source: RNAcentral